GGUGGGAACUGUGGCAGGAGCAGCCCCGGCUCUGGUCAUGAUCUGCAAUCAGCCGUCAAGUUCUGGUUUUCUUGUGUUGACUGGCCUGAAGUAAAAGAGAGAUGUAUGAGGAGAUGAUGAAGCUACACAUGGAUGCUCUUCUGUUACAGCUCCUGGAUCAGAUUCUCAGCUGACAGAGCUACAGGAUUUAUGUCUCCAGCAAUUAAAAGUUGAAAGAGACCAGGUAAAGAGAAGUGAAGAACAAAUUAAGGAACCUUCAAUUUUCACUUCACAUUUACUUUCACUAGCAAUACCAGCUUCAGAGGGCUUUGCUGCAAAUAAACCCUGUGACUGCAUGUAUAUGAAAGAGAACUGAAACUUUGGUCAGUUAUCAGCUCCAUAUUUUCAUUUUUCUGGUUGUGACCUGAUGUUUUCUUCUGUUGGCUUCAUGCAACUUGUCUCAAACUAUGUUUGCAGGAGGAAGGAUUUCUUACCUUUCCUUUGGGGCUGGCUGCUGCUCAAGGAAAGAGCCUCUUGGUGUUCAUGUCUGUAUAAAUACACCCACCUAUUCACUCUGUCAAGUCUCUAUUGCUCUUUUCUCAUCUCCCUGCUCUGAAAUGUUUUCUAGUUUUAGUGAGUGGUUCCUCAGCAACUCAAAAAGAAAAAAAGACAAAUGUUCUUGGUGUGUAGUAUUUGCUCACUCCUGUCCUAUUAGAGAAAAUGUGCAGGUACUCUACUCAGUGUCAGAUUCUUAGAUUAGGAAUUAUCUAAGCCUGAGUUCUUUUUUUAUUUAUUUAUUACUGUUUUAACUACUGCAUUCUCUAAACACUAAAAUGUUUAGUUUUUAGAUCCAGGUUUAUUCAAAGUUUUAUUCAGAGUGAGAUUUUCCCUAUUGUGCCUGUCAAGUGUCCUAUUUCACUACUCAGUAAGGCAAUUGAAACUACACGAGCAUUUGUUUCUCUGUAAUUUUCAACUGAUACAGAGCCACAAGCAGCAGUAGUUUAAAGUGUAGAAAAAAAAAGGAGCAUGUUUUCCACCGUUUAUUAUCCAGAGAUGUGCUGAUUGGGUUUGGAUGAACUGGCAAUAAACACUGCCUUGCUUCAAUGGAAGUACUUGAUCUCUGCAACAGAUAUAAGAAAUACCUAAGAUCCUCAGUAGAGACUUGUUUUAUCUGUACCAAUAACUGCUUUAGCAUGAGUCUGUCUGUACACUAGCUGUGUCCUUAAAAUCUGAAGAAUACUUGAUCAUUAAAAUCAGAAGAUGUGCUCCAGUUCAGGAAUUCUCACACCAGAGCAGGAAUCCUAAAUGCAUCUGACUGCAGCUCAGCACUGAGGAAACUUUUUGUCAGACACAGGAAAAGCAAUUGAUGGCCACUCAUGGCUUUCCUACAACUAAUGGAAAAACAGAGAACAAUAGGAAAGACUAUUUUAAAAUGUGGCUCAUUCUUAGAGCCCUGUGAGACUCACCUAUGAC
Non-coding RNA from Cyanistes caeruleus (blue tit), 1452 nucleotides. The record is from RefSeq and is a predicted model, not a curated record. Lineage: Eukaryota; Metazoa; Chordata; Aves; Passeriformes; Paridae.